This 2319-nucleotide long non-coding RNA is filed under the name Gossypium barbadense (sea-island cotton). RNAcentral's name for it is "long non-coding RNA (GBAR_LNC007968)". The record is from RNAcentral. Lineage: Eukaryota; Viridiplantae; Streptophyta; Magnoliopsida; Malvales; Malvaceae.
UUUGAAAAUCAACUGAAUUUCUAAAUGGAUAAAUAAUUAAGAAGUACAUAAUGGGUUUUAGCUGGAUUGGGCUUACGACCAGAAUAAAAAACAAAAGCAAAAGCAGUAACAGAGAAGGUCAAGCCUGUAUGGUCUUAACUCAAAGAAUUCAAAAUUCAAAAAAUAAAAAAUAAAAACUGAUCUUUAGUCCAGUCAAUCAAAACUGUUGGACAUCACUAGCCUUUGUCCUUUCAAAUCCACCGUCUAGCCUUUAUGAUAGCAUUUUCCAAUGAAAUCUUUUAAUAUCUGCUAUCAAUAUCUUUUAACAUCUUCUUGAAUCUUCUUCGUCUGACUCCCUUGAUCUUCAUCUUGCCCUUUUUUGAAUAGCAUCCCUUAGAUGCAGUCCCAACAAUUGUCCUUCUUCUUUCCUUAGCAUUUUUUUUUUCAAAAACUGGGUAGUCUUGAAUCUCCUUUAUCUUGUUCUCUUGGCCUCCGUCGCUCCCUCUCCUGAGGAAUACUCCUUGGAUGCAACCCCCGCAAGUAAUGUCCUUCUCCUCUUUGCAUCUCUUCUUUAGCAACAAGAUGGGCAGUCUCAUUUUCUAUUUUAGGAAUGAAAUGAAACCCGAUAUUUUGAAAGAAAUUUUUUUUCUAUGGAUAUAUCUGACUAUCGCCCCUAUAAUCGAUUUAUCUUGGUUUGUGGUCUAAAAUUUCUUAAUCACUGUUCUUGAGUCUCCUUUUAUAUCCAGAGUAUUUAAUCCUAUUGUAAUCCCUAACUGAAUUGCCUGUAAUCCUGCAUGUGCCUCUGCUGCAAAUGGCGAUGAAAUGUCGGAAUGAAUAACUGACUUAGAGGCCAUGAUAUCCCCCCUUCGUAUCACAAACAACCAAACCCGAAGCAGAUCUCGAAGUUCUCUUGUCGAAAGCCGCAUCAAAAUAAACUGUCACCCUCGUGCUUCUUUCCAUCUGCUUAUGUCCUCUAUCAAUGUUGGUAAGAAAUCUUUUUUCCUCCACUCCAUUUAACUUUGCUAUAAAACUGAUGACUUAUUUAGAAAUAUCCCUGCCUGUUGUAAUCUCUCUCAUAGAUGAAUUUAUUUCUAUGAUUCUAGAUUGACCAUAACCCACAGCAAAAAAAGGCGACACUGGUCUUUGUUCCCCAGCCUGAAAACCCAUAUAAGCCACUCCCACAAGCUUUGAGUGCUGUUAUUGGAUACCCAUGCAAGAUCUAAACUUGACCAUACUUCUGUUGUUGUAGCACAGUACCUGAAAACGUGGUUGCUAUCCUCAGCGGAGGUGUGACAUCGGGGACAAAGAGUUUCCACUGCGAAUUUUUUACUCUUUAGAUUAGAUAGAAUAGAAAUAUAAUUCCAAGAAAUUCUCCAAAUUGUAAUUUUAAUUUUUGGAGGGAUUUGUAAAUUCCAUAAUUUUCUGUAGAAGUUUCUAUUCUUGGUUUGUAUAAAAUUAUUACUAGGACCCGAAUUAGUCUUUUGUAAUAGUUUAUAGGAACUUCUGACUGAAUACUUUCCUGACGAUUCUCCUCUCCAUGCUUGGAAGUCCUCGUAGAUUGUCUCUGCCAAGGGAAUCUACAGAAUUUUUUUGGCGUUAUCCUCAUUGAAGGUACUUAAAACUAAAUUUGUAUUCCACUUUCGGUUAUUAGCAUUAAUCAAAUAUGAUACUAACUUAAUAUUCUCAUUGACGGUUUCAUUCUGCAAUCUAUCAUUUUCAACUCCCAAAAUCCAUAUGUCAUCCCAAACAGAGAUGCGAUCGCCUGUUCCUACUAUCCAGCAUAAUCCUCUCUCCAAAAUCCCUUUAGCUGCCCAAACACUCUUCUAGGAAAGCAAAGGUAAAUUCCCCAAUUGAGUAUUGAUAAAAUCUGAAUUUGGAUAAUAUUUUGCUUUGAAAACACGACUUAGUAAAUAAUUAGGGAAAUUGACAAGAUGCCAACCUUGUUUUGCUAAUCACGCUAUAUUGAAUUUUUUGAGUUUACGAAAGCCUAAACCACCAUUUUUUUUCAAAGAGCAUAAAUCUUUCCACAUGCACCAGUGAAUUUCUUUUUAUCUCGAUUUUUCUGCCACCAAUACCUUGCCAUAAUACCUUCUAAUUCAACACAUAAAGACUUAGGGAUUAGGAAAUAUGCCAUCGUAUAGGUUGGAAUAGUUUGAAGAAUAGCUUUUAUGAACACCUCUUUCACCCGUUGAGAUAGAUGCCUUACACUCCAGCUAUCAAUCCGCUGUUUCAUUCUGUCCGCUGUUUCAUUCUGUCCUUUAAGGUCUAAAAAUGCAUUUUCUUUUUUCUACCUACCAUAUUAGGCAAACCAAGAUACCUUUCUGGGUUAUUAGAACUUUG